GCCGGCGUAACUCAGUUGGUAGAGUAUCUCACUCGUAAUGAGAAAGUCCGCGGUUCGAAUCCGCGCGCCGGCUCCA
This 76-nucleotide transfer RNA is filed under the name Desulfobacter postgatei. RNAcentral's name for it is "tRNA-Thr". It matches the Rfam family "tRNA". From Rfam's summary of the family: Transfer RNA (tRNA) molecules are approximately 80 nucleotides in length. Their secondary structure includes four short double-helical elements and three loops (D, anti-codon, and T loops). Further hydrogen bonds mediate the characteristic L-shaped molecular structure. tRNAs have two regions of fundamental functional importance: the anti-codon, which is responsible for specific mRNA codon recognition, and the 3' end, to which the tRNAs corresponding amino acid is attached (by aminoacyl-tRNA synthetases). tRNAs cope with the degeneracy of the genetic code in two manners: having more than one tRNA (with a specific anti-codon) for a particular amino acid; and 'wobble' base-pairing, i.e. permitting non-standard base-pairing at the 3rd anti-codon position. Lineage: Bacteria; Pseudomonadati; Thermodesulfobacteriota; Desulfobacteria; Desulfobacterales; Desulfobacteraceae. RNAcentral also lists the same sequence under 1 other name. The record is from RNAcentral.